This 254-nucleotide ribosomal RNA is filed under the name uncultured bacterium. RNAcentral describes it as "partial 16S ribosomal RNA". It matches the Rfam family "Bacterial small subunit ribosomal RNA", at positions 524 to 776 of the family's 1533-position model. The record is from RNAcentral.
CACGUAGGGUGCGAGCGUUGUCCGGAAUUAUUGGGCGUAAAGAGCUCGUAGGCGGUGUGUCGCGUCGGCCGUGAAAACCUGCAGCUUAACUGUGGGCUUGCGGUCGAUACGGGCAUCACUGGAGUUCGGCAGGGGAGACUGGAAUUCCCGGUGUAGUGGUGAUAUGCGUAGAUAUCAGGAGGAACACCGGUGGCGAAGGCGGCUACCUGGACAGAAACUGACGCUGAGGCGCGAAAGCUAGGGGAGCAAACAGG